RNAcentral lists this ribosomal RNA (431 nucleotides) under uncultured bacterium. RNAcentral describes it as "partial 16S ribosomal RNA". It matches the Rfam family "Bacterial small subunit ribosomal RNA", at positions 338 to 795 of the family's 1533-position model. The record is from RNAcentral.
CCUACGGGUGGCUGCAGUGGGGAAUAUUGCACAAUGGGCGCAAGCCUGAUGCAGCCAUGCCGCGUGUGUGAAGAAGGCCUUAGGGUUGUAAAGCACUUUCAGCGAGGAGGCGUUACUCGCAGAAGAAGCACCGGCUAACUCCGUGCCAGCAGCCGCGGUAAUACGGAGGGUGCAAGCGUUAAUCGGAAUUACUGGGCGUAAAGCGCACGCAGGCGGUUUGUUAAGUCAGAUGUGAAAUCCCCGAGCUUAACUUGGGAACUGCAUUUGAAACUGGCAAGCUAGAGUCUUGUAGAGGGGGGUAGAAUUCCAGGUGUAGCGGUGAAAUGCGUAGAGAUCUGGAGGAAUACCGGUGGCGAAGGCGGCCCCCUGGACAAGCUGACGCUCAGGUGCGAAAGCGUGGGGAGCAAACAGGAUUAGAUACCCGAGUAGUC